This 27-nucleotide non-coding RNA is filed under the name Homo sapiens (human). Lineage: Eukaryota; Metazoa; Chordata; Mammalia; Primates; Hominidae. The record is from RNAcentral.
AGUCCACCUAGUAACUGCUGUUACUGC